GACGAGUCCCAAAUAGGACGAAAUGCGCAUCCUCGAU
This 37-nucleotide non-coding RNA is filed under the name Trichobilharzia regenti. The record is from RNAcentral. Lineage: Eukaryota; Metazoa; Platyhelminthes; Trematoda; Strigeidida; Schistosomatidae.